AACGCACAUUGCGCCCUUUGGUAUUCCUUAGGGCAUGCCUGUUCGAGCGUCAUAUCAACCCUCAAGCACCGCUUGGUGUUGGGCGCUUGUCCCCGCCGCCGGCAGGGACUCGCCCCGAAUCCAUUGGCAGCCACCGCACCGGGCCAACGAGCGCAGCAGAUUUCGCGCCUCGGGCAGGGAGCGUGGGCGACCCACUGAGCACCCCAUCCACUUUGACCUCGGAUCAGGUAGGGAUACCCGCUGAACUUAA
This 250-nucleotide unclassified non-coding RNA is filed under the name uncultured fungus. RNAcentral's name for it is "partial contains 5.8S ribosomal RNA, internal transcribed spacer 2, and large subunit ribosomal RNA". Lineage: Eukaryota; Fungi. The record is from RNAcentral.